This 500-nucleotide ribosomal RNA is filed under the name uncultured bacterium. RNAcentral's name for it is "bacterial SSU rRNA". It matches the Rfam family "Bacterial small subunit ribosomal RNA", at positions 416 to 911 of the family's 1533-position model. The record is from RNAcentral.
CUUUGGAUUGUAAACUCCUGUCAGCAGGGAAAAAGGGGCCUGGCCACACCAGGUCAUUGAUUGUACCUGCAGAGGAAGCCCCGGCUAACUCUGUGCCAGCAGCCGCGGUAAUACAGAGGGGGCAAGCGUUAUUCGGAAUUAUUGGGCGUAAAGGGCGCGUAGGCGGCUUGGCAAGUGGAAGGUGAAAUCCCUCGGCUCAACCGAGGAACUGCCUUCUAAACUGCUUUGAUUGAGUCCGGGAGAGGUCAGUGGAAUUCCCAGUGUAGCGGUGAAAUGCGUAGAUAUUGGGAGGAACACCAGUGGCGAAGGCGGCUGACUGGACCGGUACUGACGCUGAGGCGCGAAAGCGUGGGGAGCAAACGGGAUUAGAUACCCCGGUAGUCCACGCCGUAAACGAUGAAUGCUUGGUGUAGCGGGUAUCGACCCCUGCUGUGCCGAAGUCAACACAUUAAGCAUUCCGCCUGGGGAGUACGGUCGCAAGGCUGAAACUCAAAGGAAUU